CCUACGGGAGGCAGCAGUGAGGAAUAUUGGUCAAUGGUCGCGAGCCUGAACCAGCCAAGUAGCGUGAAGGAUGACUGUCCUACGGGUCGUAAACUUCUUUUAUCAAGGAAUAAAGUGAGGCACGUGUGCCUUUUUGUAUGUACUUUAUGAAUAAGGAUCGGCUAACUCCGUGCCAGCAGCCGCGGUAAUACGGAGGAUCCGAGCGUUAUCCGGAUUUAUUGGGUUUAAAGGGAGCGUAGGUGGGUUGUUAAGUCAGUUGUGAAAGCCUGCGGCUCAACCGUAAAAUUGCAAUUGAUACUGGCAGUCUUGAGUACAGUUGAGGUAGGCGGAAUGCGUGGUGUAGCGGUGAAAUGCAUAGAUGUCGCGAAGAACUCCGAUUGCGAAGGCAGCUUGCUGAACUGCCACUGACGUUGAUGCUCGAAAGUGUGGGUAUCAAACAGGAUUAGAUACCCUAGUAGUC
This 460-nucleotide ribosomal RNA is filed under the name uncultured bacterium. Its description in RNAcentral is "partial 16S ribosomal RNA". It matches the Rfam family "Bacterial small subunit ribosomal RNA", at positions 338 to 795 of the family's 1533-position model. The record is from RNAcentral.